CUCCAGCCCCUCCCGCAGCAUGUUUGGGCUUAGCCUCCUCCUUUCCGCCUGCGUUGGAUGGAGACGUUCCCGGUACCAGAAGGAAUGAAAGGACUGGGGCUGGUCUCCAUGGCAACUGAUAGAAAGGAGCUUCCAUCCAAGUCUGUGAGUGCUCAUCAUUUCUGAAGAAUCAAAGUAUCAUCUUCAUCAUCCCUUGGCUUGCAAGAUGAACUCCAACAUCAAAACACUUGAAACAGUAGUAUUUUUACAAUUUACCCACUGCCUUUACAUCUCACUUAGUCCUUCCAGUAACAUUUGGAUGAUGAGGCAACUUAUCCAGAAGCACAAAGCCUAAAGAAUGACAGAGCCUGGACUCCUAAGAAAUUCAGCUACUGCCAACCUUAAUAUAAUCAAAAGAAGGCACAGCAGAAGUUGGAGAGCAGCCUGGGCAACGGAGAGAAACCCCCACUUCUACAAAAAAAUUAAAAAGUUAGUCCAGGCACAGUGGCUGACACCUGUGAUCCCAGCACUUUGGAAGGCUGAAGCGGGCGGAUCACUGGAAGUCAGGAGUUUGAGACUAGCCUGGCCAACAUGGUGAAACUCUGUCUCUACUAAAAAUACAAAAAUUAGCUGGGUGUGGUGGCACACACCUGUAAUCCCAGUUACUCUGGAGGCUGAGGCAGUAGAAUAGCUUGAACUCGGGAGUCAGAGGUUGCAGUGAGCCAAGAUUGCUCUGCACUCCAGCCUGGGCAACAGAGCGAAACUCAACCUCAAAAAAAUAAUUUAAAAAAAUUUUUAAUUAAAAAAUUAGCUGGGAAGGCCGGGUGCGGUGGCUCAAGCCUGUAAUCCCAGCACUUUGGGAGGCUGAGGCGGGUAGAUCACGAGGUCCAGAGAUCGAGACCAUCCAGGUCAACAUGGUGAAAACCCGUCUCUACUAAAAAUACAAAAAUUAGCUGGGCGUGGUGGCGCGUGCCUAUAAUCCCAGCUACUCAGGAGACUGAGGCAGGAGAAUUGCCUGAACCUGGGAGGCGGAGGUUGCGGUGAGCCGAGAUCGCGCCAUUGCACUCCAGUCUGGGUAACGAGCGAAACUCCGUCUCAAAAAAAAAAAAAGUAGCUGGGUAUGGUGGUGUACACCUGUGGUUCCAGCUACUGGAGAGACUGAGGCAGGAGGCUCCCAUGAGCCCAAGAGGUUGAGGUCAUAGUGAACCAUGAGCAUUCCAGCCUGUGUGACAGUGAGACUGUCAAAAAAGCAUAGGUUCAGUGAAACUCCAAUAAAUUACUGAAACGUUUUUUUCUCUUAA
Molecule: non-coding RNA, 1280 nt
Organism: Callithrix jacchus (white-tufted-ear marmoset)
Lineage: Eukaryota; Metazoa; Chordata; Mammalia; Primates; Cebidae
Source: RefSeq, a predicted model, not a curated record